This is a non-coding RNA of Pongo abelii (Sumatran orangutan), 161 nucleotides long. Lineage: Eukaryota; Metazoa; Chordata; Mammalia; Primates; Hominidae. The record is from Rfam.
AGCUUUGUGCAGUAGCAGUAAGGUAGCCCAUGAGGUUUAUUUGAGGCGCGAUUAUUGCUAAUUGAAAGAGAUUCGUAGUGCACAGAGAGUGGGAUUUGUAGUUAACUACAUCUAGAUUUUUCAAUUCCCACCCCACUGUUUACCAGUUGGAUAAACUUGGG